CCUACGGGAGGCAGCAGUGAGGAAUAUUGGUCAAUGGACGAGAGUCUGAACCAGCCAAGUAGCGUGAAGGAUGACUGCCCUAUGGGUUGUAAACUUCUUUUAUAUGGGAAUAAAAUGUUCCACGUGUGGGAUUUUGUAUGUACCAUAUGAAUAAGGAUCGGCUAACUCCGUGCCAGCAGCCGCGGUAAUACGGAGGAUCCGAGCGUUAUCCGGAUUUAUUGGGUUUAAAGGGAGCGUAGGUGGAUUGUUAAGUCAGUUGUGAAAGUUUGCGGCUCAACCGUAAAAGUGCAGUUGAAACUGGCAGUCUUGAGUACAGGAGAGGUGGGCGGAAUUCGUGGUGUAGCGGUGAAAUGCUUAGAUAUCACGAAGAACUCCGAUGGCGAAGGCAGUUCACUGGACUGCAACUGACACUGAGGCUCGAAAGUGUGGGUAUCAAACAGGAUUAGAUACCCUUGUAGUC
This 460-nucleotide ribosomal RNA is filed under the name uncultured bacterium. RNAcentral's name for it is "partial 16S ribosomal RNA". It matches the Rfam family "Bacterial small subunit ribosomal RNA", at positions 338 to 795 of the family's 1533-position model. The record is from RNAcentral.